UUAUAUCCUCAUUUUGAUGGUACUCAAUCAUGUGCAGAGGGCAACAGCAGGUUGUGCGUCUCUGUCAGAGACUACUACUGUUACGUGCUGCAGACACGGCCUGUGAUCUUUAAUCCCAUACUCUAUGGAGCACGCCUCUUGCAGCAAUGGGCCGUCGACAUGUACGUCAAGAUUGAAAGUUGUCGGUUGAGGUGGUACAGGAAGAACCAGACGCAGAUUCCUGCCGACUUGUAUAAAGGAGUUGUUGAUGCGAUCAUUGGGGAGAUACGAGCAAGCGCUAUUGGGGUAAGAAUAGUUCUCCCUGGAACAUACCCUGGUGGCGACCGC
RNAcentral lists this ribosomal RNA (327 nucleotides) under Triticum aestivum (bread wheat). Its description in RNAcentral is "partial small subunit ribosomal RNA". Lineage: Eukaryota; Viridiplantae; Streptophyta; Magnoliopsida; Poales; Poaceae. The record is from RNAcentral.